This 330-nucleotide ribosomal RNA is filed under the name uncultured eukaryote. RNAcentral describes it as "partial 18S ribosomal RNA". It matches the Rfam family "Eukaryotic small subunit ribosomal RNA", at positions 1470 to 1796 of the family's 1831-position model. The record is from RNAcentral.
UCCUUAGAUGUUCUGGGCCGCACGCGCGCUACACUGAUGCAUUCAACGAGCCUAUCCUUGACCGACAGGUCCGGGUAAUCUUUGAAUCUGCAUCGUGACGGGGAUAGAUUAUUGCAAUUAUUAAUCUUCAACGAGGAAUGCCUAGUAGGCGCAAGUCAUCAGCUUGCGUCGAUUACGUCCCUGCCCUUUGUACACACCGCCCGUCGCUACUACCGAUUGAACGGUUUAGUGAGGGCCUCGGAUUGGUCUCGGCCCGCUCUUUACCGGGCGGCGCCGUUGGUCGAGAAGACGCUCGAACUUGAUCGUUUAGAGGAAGUAAAAGUCGUAACA